AGUCGCGUGGUCUAAUGGUUAUGAUUUCUCGUUCACAGUCGUGUCAGAUCCUCUGUCUUCGAGGCUCCGAGAAGGUUCCCGGUUCGAUCCCGGGCGCGACUA
Molecule: non-coding RNA, 102 nt
Organism: Aspergillus ellipticus CBS 707.79
Lineage: Eukaryota; Fungi; Ascomycota; Eurotiomycetes; Eurotiales; Aspergillaceae
Source: the annotation of a GenBank genome assembly